UGGGGGAUAUUGCACAAUGGGGGGAACCCUGAUGCAGCGACGCCGCGUGAGGGAAGACGGUUUUCGGAUUGUAAACCUCUGUCUUUAGGGACGAAAAAAAGUGACGGUACCUAAAGAGGAAGCCACGGCUAACUACGUGCCAGCAGCCGCGGUAAUACGUAGGUGGCAAGCGUUGUCCGGAAUUACUGGGUGUAAAGGGAGCGUAGGCGGGGAGGCAAGUUGAAUGUUUAAACUAUCGGCUCAACUGAUAGUCGCGUUCAAAGCUGCCACUCUUGAGUGCAGUAGAGGUAGGCGGAAUUCCUAGUGUAGCGGUGAAAUGCGUAGAUAUUAGGAGGAACACCAGUGGCGAAGGCGGCCUACUGGGCUGUAACUGACGCUGAGGCUCGAAAGCGUGGGUAGCAAACAGGAUUAGAUACCC
This 418-nucleotide ribosomal RNA is filed under the name uncultured bacterium. RNAcentral describes it as "bacterial SSU rRNA". It matches the Rfam family "Bacterial small subunit ribosomal RNA", at positions 355 to 787 of the family's 1533-position model. The record is from RNAcentral.